UACGUAGGGUGCGAGCGUUGUCCGGAAUUAUUGGGCGUAAAGAGCUUGUAGGCGGUUUGUCGCGUCUGCUGUGAAAGCCCGGGGCUUAACCUCGGGCGUGCAGGCGAUACGGGCAAUACUUGAGUGCUGUAGGGGAGACUGGAAUUCCUGGUGUAGCGGUGAAAUGCGCAGAUAUCAGGAGGAACACCGAUGGCGAAGGCAGGUCUCUGGGCAGUAACUGACGCUGAGGAGCGAAGGCAUGGGUAGCGAACAGGAUUA
RNAcentral lists this ribosomal RNA (258 nucleotides) under uncultured prokaryote. Its description in RNAcentral is "partial 16S ribosomal RNA". It matches the Rfam family "Bacterial small subunit ribosomal RNA", at positions 524 to 780 of the family's 1533-position model. The record is from RNAcentral.